RNAcentral lists this unclassified non-coding RNA (232 nucleotides) under plant metagenome. RNAcentral describes it as "partial contains small subunit ribosomal RNA, internal transcribed spacer 1, and 5.8S ribosomal RNA". The stretch from base 184 to 232 matches the Rfam family "5.8S ribosomal RNA", at positions 1 to 49 of the family's 154-position model. The record is from RNAcentral.
UCUCCGUUGGUGAACCAGCGGAGGGAUCAUUACAGGAUCGAAAGACUCCUAUAACCCCUGUGAACUUACUACAAAUACGUUGCUUCGGCGGGUGCCCCGGGUCUCCCGGGGCGUUCAGCCCGCCGGCAGCCUUCAAAUUCUGUUUCUUUGCGUUGGCAUCUCGAGUAUACAAAAAUAAGUUAAAACUUUCAACAACGGAUCUCUUGGUUCUGGCAUCGAUGAGGAACGCAGC